GAUGAAGAACGUAGCGAAAUGCGAUAAGUAGUGUGAAUUGCAGAAUUCAGUGAAUCAUCGAAUCUUUGAACGCACAUUGCGCCCUUUGGUAUUCCAAAGGGCAUGUCUGUUCGAGCGUCAUUUGUACCCUCAAGCUUUGCUUGGUGUUGGGCGUCUUGUCUCUAGCUUUGCUGGAGACUCGCCUUAAAGUAAUUGGCAGCCGGCCUACUGGUUUCGGAGCGCAGCACAAGUCGCACUCUCUAUCAGCAAAGGUCUAGCAUCCACUAAGCCUUUUUUUCAACUUUUGACCUCGGAUCAGGUAGGGAUACCCGCUGAACUUAAGCAUAUCAAUAAGCGGAGGA
Molecule: unclassified non-coding RNA, 341 nt
Filed under: soil metagenome
Description: partial contains 5.8S ribosomal RNA, internal transcribed spacer 2, and large subunit ribosomal RNA
Rfam family: 5.8S ribosomal RNA (bases 1-120)
Source: RNAcentral